UACGUAGGGUGCAAGCGUUGUCCGGAAUUAUUGGGCGUAAAGAGCUCGUAGUCGGUGUGUCGCGUCUGCCGUGAAAACCUGCGGCUUAACCGUGGGCGUGCGGUGGAUACGGGCACACUUGAGUUCGGUAGGGGAGACUGGAAUUCCUGGUGUAGCGGUGGAAUGCGCAGAUAUCAGGAGGAACACCAAUGGCGAAGGCAGGUCUCUGGGCAGUUACUGACGCUGAGGAGCGAAAGCAUGGGUAGCGAACAGGAUUAGAUA
Molecule: ribosomal RNA, 261 nt
Filed under: uncultured prokaryote
Description: partial 16S ribosomal RNA
Rfam family: Bacterial small subunit ribosomal RNA
Source: RNAcentral